AGUCGAGGGGCAGCAUGGUCUUAGCUUGCUAAGGCCGAUGGCGACCGGCGCACGGGUGAGUAACACGUAUCCAACCUGCCGUCUACUCUUGGACAGCCUUCUGAAAGGAAGAUUAAUACAAGAUGGCAUCAUGAGUCCGCAUGUUCACAUGAUUAAAGGUAUUCCGGUAGACGAUGGGGAUGCGUUCCAUUAGAUAGUAGGCGGGGUAACGGCCCACCUAGUCUUCGAUGGAUAGGGGUUCUGAGAGGAAGGUCCCCCACAUUGGAACUGAGACACGGUCCAAACUCCUACGGGAGGCAGCAGUGAGGAAUAUUGGUCAAUGGGCGAGAGCCUGAACCAGCCAAGUAGCGUGAAGGAUGACUGCCCUAUGGGUUGUAAACUUCUUUUAUAAAGGAAUAAAGUCGGGUAUGGAUACCCGUUUGCAUGUACUUUAUGAAUAAGGAUCGGCUAACUCCGUGCCAGCAGCCGCGGUAAUACGGAGGAUCCGAGCGUUAUCCGGAUUUAUUGGGUUUAAAGGGAGCGUAGAUGGAUGUUUAAGUCAGUUGUGAAAGUUUGCGGCUCAACCGUAAAAUUGCAG
This 577-nucleotide ribosomal RNA is filed under the name Bacteroides sp. HGA0071. RNAcentral describes it as "bacterial SSU rRNA". It matches the Rfam family "Bacterial small subunit ribosomal RNA", at positions 60 to 626 of the family's 1533-position model. Lineage: Bacteria; Pseudomonadati; Bacteroidota; Bacteroidia; Bacteroidales; Bacteroidaceae. The record is from RNAcentral.